GAUGAACGCUGGCGGCGUGCUUAACACAUGCAAGUCGAACGGGAAACUUUUCAUUGAAGCUUCGGCAGAUUUGGUCUGUUUCUAGUGGCGGACGGGUGAGUAACGCGUGGGUAACCUGCCUUAUACAGGGGGAUAACAACCAGAAAUGGUUGCUAAUACCGCAUAAGCGCACAGGACCGCAUGGUCCGGUGUGAAAAACUCCGGUGGUAUAAGAUGGACCCGCGUUGGAUUAGCUAGUUGGCAGGGUAACGGCCUACCAAGGCGACGAUCCAUAGCCGGCCUGGGAGGGUGGACGGCCACAUUGGGGAUGGGACACGGCCCAGAAUCCUACGGGAGGCAGCAGUGGGGGAUAUUGCAAAAUGGGGGAAAACCUGAUGCAGCGACGCCGGGUGAAGGAAGAAGUAUCUCGGUAUGUAAACUUCUAUCAGCAGGGAAGAUAGUGACGGUACCUGAAUAAGAAGCCCCGGCUAACUACGUG
RNAcentral lists this ribosomal RNA (478 nucleotides) under uncultured bacterium. RNAcentral's name for it is "partial 16S ribosomal RNA". It matches the Rfam family "Bacterial small subunit ribosomal RNA", at positions 28 to 507 of the family's 1533-position model. The record is from RNAcentral.